RNAcentral lists this ribosomal RNA (397 nucleotides) under uncultured bacterium. RNAcentral describes it as "partial 16S ribosomal RNA". It matches the Rfam family "Bacterial small subunit ribosomal RNA", at positions 523 to 918 of the family's 1533-position model. The record is from RNAcentral.
AUACGUAGGUGACAAGCGUUAUCCGGAUUUACUGGGCGUAAAGGGCGUGUAGGCGGUCUUGCAAGUCAGAAGUGAAAUUCCUGAGCUCAACUCGGGCGCUGCUUCUGAAACUGCAGGACUUGAGUGCUGGAGGGGAUAGCGGAAUUCCUAGUGGAGCGGUAAAAUGCGCAGAUAUUAGGAAGAACACCGGUGGCGAAGGCGGCUAUCUGGACAGUAACUGACGCUGAGGCGCGAAAGCGUGGGGAGCAAACAGGAUUAGAUACCCUGGUAGUCCACGCCGUAAACGAUGAGUACUAGGUGUAGGGGGUAUCGACUCCCUCUGUGCCGCAGUUAACACAAUAAGUAUUCCGCCUGGGGAGUACGGCCGCAAGGUUGAAACUCAAAUGAAUUGACGGGG